GAAGAAGCUCCGGCUAACUCCGUGCCAGCAGCCGCGGUAAUACGAAGGGGGCUAGCGUUGUUCGGAAUUACUGGGCGUAAAGGGCGCGUAGGCGGUUCUCUAAGUCAGGUGUGAAAUCUCCGGGCUCAACUCGGAGGCUGCCUUCGAAACUGGAGUGCUGGAGUAUGGGAGAGGUGAGUGGAAUUCCCGGUGUAGAGGUGAAAUGCGUAGAUAUUGGGAGGAACACCUGUGGCGAAGGCGGCUCACUGGACCGUUACUGACGCUGAGGCGCGAAAGCGUGGGGAGCAAACAGGAUUAGAUACCCUGGUAGUCCACGCCCUAAACGAUGAUUGCUUGGUGUGGGCGGU
RNAcentral lists this ribosomal RNA (347 nucleotides) under uncultured bacterium. RNAcentral's name for it is "bacterial SSU rRNA". It matches the Rfam family "Bacterial small subunit ribosomal RNA", at positions 484 to 830 of the family's 1533-position model. The record is from RNAcentral.